GGCUGAACUACAGCAAAGUAGUUGAUGGCUGUUGGAUGAAAAUGAGUUUAUGGUUUCUGUGCACCAAAGUUUGGUAGCAGAUAACUGUAUCCUGUCAGUUGUGUUGACCCUUGCUAUAAUUAGAUAUUUAAAGUAAACUGGCAGAUGCCUGUAAGAUGCUGUCAUGAUUUGGUAUUUCACACUGACAUAUGGUAUUUAAUUAUUUCUCUCUAAAUUUAACAUCUUAAGAUUGCUCCAUCUUGAAAAAUACUUCUCAAAUUAUUUACAGUUCAGUCUGAAUUCCACUUUUUCAAAGUGGGUAUCUGCAGAUGAUGCACAGUAGUUCAUGCUUUUAAAUCCUGUGGGCUUUGAUUCAUUGUUAAGCAUUAACUAAAAUGAUAAUUUCCACAGCAUAUGUAAUAAUAGAAGAGAGAAGACUGACAGGGAGGCGUGAGCUUUAAGAAUACAUUUUACAAUUUUUUUCCUAGAGGAGGUUGUAUUUGUAUUCUCAGGCAUAAUGAUACACAGCAGCCUUCAGCAGCAGGAGAAGAGCAAGUGGAAAUGGAGAACUGAAACAAAUGUGGACAAAAUAGCAGAAAAGUAUGCUUUGAAUUCAGAAACAGCUGUACAAAAUCUUAUCAGUGAGGAGGCAACUGAGAAGUGUGUUGUGCUGGUUGAUUGCUCUUCAGUUCCAAGGGAGUUCCUCAGGUGGGUGGAAUUGUUUCCAUUGCUGCUGCAGUGGGCUUUUAUGAAUUUAAUCUUGGAAAAUUAAGGCACAUUAAAUACUGAGUUUCCCUUUUUGUUAGGGCUCUUUUCCUGUGUUACAUAUUGUUGUAACCAUUCAAACCAAAGAGCUCUGAGCUCAAUUUCCUCAAUACAAAGCUGUGCAAUUUCAUACUGUGGUUGUAUUUUAAGUGUUGUCUGUGAGAGCUCUAUUAGGCCUGUUAGUGUGUUCUCUUGUACAAUGGCACAUUAGAAAUCUUGAUUGCUGUUCCUGGCUAUUUCAUAUAGUUGUGCUAGAGCUCUGCAAUGGGAAUAUUUGAAGAGCAGAGAAGAAGAGGAGAUAGUUUUGUAGAAAGGCACAUAUGCGCCCCAAAACUGGUUGCGUUAGAAACUCUGCCACUGGGUUUAGCUGAGUUUCAAACAUUGUGUUCACAGAACAAGUUGGUAUUGCCUGGUUUUGGAGCUGUAGUAAUUCCAUAAUAGUUCUUCUGUUUGAUGCAGUCAAAAGAGGAAGUCAGGUGUUAGAAGUUAUGAGGGAAGGGGUAGGAAUCAGUGUUUUGCCGCAGAAUGAUUCCAUGGCACAUGCUCAUCUUAAUAAGGUUCACUGAAGGGCAGCAGAAGUGCUAUGAGGCUAGUUUCUGUACAGGGCAUGUUUAACUGGUAGGCUAGGACUUCUCAACCUGGAAAAAGGAUGCUUCAGGUCUUGUGUGUGAUGGAGAAUUGUAAAGUGGGUGGCAUAAAUACA
Strigops habroptila (Kakapo) is the source of this 1447-nucleotide long non-coding RNA. RefSeq lists it as uncharacterized. The transcript is spliced from 2 exons. Lineage: Eukaryota; Metazoa; Chordata; Aves; Psittaciformes; Psittacidae. The record is from RefSeq and is a predicted model, not a curated record.